UACGGAGGGUGCGAGCGUUAUCCGGAAUUACUGGGUUUAAAGGGUGCGUAGGCGGCUAUGUAAGUCAGGAGUGAAAGUUUGCGGCUCAACCGUAAAAUUGCUUUUGAUACUGCAUGGCUGGAAUUAGGAUGAGGUCAGCGGAAUGUGGCAUGUAGCGGUGAAAUGCGUAGAGAUGUGGAGGAACACCAGUGGCGAAGGCGACUCUUUGGUCUGUAACUGACGCUGAGGCGCGAAAGCGUGGGGAGCAAACAGG
Molecule: ribosomal RNA, 253 nt
Filed under: uncultured bacterium
Lineage: Bacteria
Description: partial 16S ribosomal RNA
Rfam family: Bacterial small subunit ribosomal RNA
Source: RNAcentral